RNAcentral lists this ribosomal RNA (200 nucleotides) under uncultured bacterium. RNAcentral describes it as "partial 16S ribosomal RNA". It matches the Rfam family "Bacterial small subunit ribosomal RNA", at positions 8 to 219 of the family's 1533-position model. The record is from RNAcentral.
AGAGUUUGAUCAUGGCUCAGGAUGAACGCUAGCGGCGGGCCUAAUACAUGCAAGUCGAACGGUGCAGCAAUGCAUAGUGGCAGACGGGUGCGUAACGCGUAUGCAACCUACCCCAGAUCGGGGGACAACAUUUCGAAAGAGAUGCUAAUACCGCAUAAGAUUGUAGAUCGGCAUUGAUCAGCAAUUAAACUUACGGGGAU